Molecule: ribosomal RNA, 800 nt
Filed under: uncultured fungus
Lineage: Eukaryota; Fungi
Description: bacterial SSU rRNA
Rfam family: Eukaryotic small subunit ribosomal RNA
Source: RNAcentral
AACCUGGUUGAUCCUGCCAGUAGUCAUAUGCUUGUCCCAAAGAUUAAGCCAUGCAUGUCUAAGUUUAAGCACCGAGUGUGAAACUGCGAAUGGCUCAUUAAAUCAGUUAUAAUUUACUUGAUAGUCAAACUUAUCAUUGGAUAACCGUGGUAAUUCUAGAGCUAAUACACGCAACAAGCCUGACGCGAGGAGGGCCGUAUUUAUUGGAUACGAAACUGAUGGCAGUGAUGCCUUGGUGAUUCACAAUAACUUUACGGAUCGUAUGGCCUUGUGCCGACGACGUAUCAUUCAAAUUUCUGCCCUAUCAACUUUCGAUGGUAAGAUAGAGGCUUACCAUGGUGAUAACGGGUAACGGGGAAUUGGGGUUCUAUUCCGGAGAGGGAGCCUGAGAAAUGGCUACCACGUCCAAGGAUGGCAGCAGGCGCGCAAAUUACCCAAUGCCGAUACGGCGAGGUAGUGACAGAAAAUAACGAUGCGGGGCCGCAAGGCUUUGCAAUUGGAAUGAGUACAAUUUAAAUCGCUUAACGAGUAACGAUUGGAGGGCAAGUCUGGUGCCAGCAGCCGCGGUAAUUCCAGCUCCAAUAGCGUAUAUUAAAGUUGUUGCAGUUAAAACGCUCGUAGUCUGAGAUGGUGGGGCGGGGUGGUGGGCGACGAAAGUUGCGUGCAGCUGCUGCUCCAUUUUUGUGUAGAAUAUGCACGAGUUACUUUGAGGAAAUUAGGGUGUUCAAAGCAGGCGUUUGCUUGGAUACUGCAGCAUGGAAUAACGGAAUAGGACUUGCUUCUUAUUUUGUUGGUUUGGA